GUUAUCUGUACCUUUAGCACCAAAAAGAACAAUUCACAAACUCAAUAAUAUGGUAUUGUAUAUAUUUCCAAAGACAUAGACCCACAGAUUUAAAAAUACAUAAUUUUAUACAUAGAAAAUUUAAUUCAACAUUUAACGAAUUCAGUUAGGACUUUUAUUCUGGCAAUUUAGCUAAUUAAACUAACAUAGAAAUUCUCUUGAUAAACCUGUAGAAAUACUUGAUGUAUCAAUAAAGCAAGUCAAUACAGUGAGAAAAUGGCAAAAUAGAAAGGAAAAUCCCAAGGUAGUAGAAAUAGGAAAGAAACUGAAAGCCAGAGCCAGAAGCAUUUGAGCUGCCUCUGCAGGAGAUCUAGGGACAGUCAACCCAUCCCCUCCAAACGCACUAGAGUCUUAGAAUUAAUACCCAUACAGGGACCCAAGAAUGAGGCCUUGUAUAUGUUCAAGAUGGUACAUGUGUGCUUAAGAUUGCUGUAUUAAGCUAUGACCCUCAAAGGGCUGCACCCAUGGUAACUUCCCAAGCUUGUACCACAUGUGGAUUUGGAGCCCAAAUGUAAUUCUUCACGUUGUUCAGAAUCACCAGCUGAGAAACUGGCAUCACUAAAGAUGAGCUCACAAUCAGAUAUUUUAAAACUUGAGUCAGAAACACUCAACAAUGAGUGAGAAUCAACUGGAAGAAGGGUACGAUUUAGAACUUGAAGAACAUGCUGUCCUUGGAGAAAGUAUGACAGGUGUGCACAAUAUGGCAGGUACGAGGAUGUUCAUUAUAGCAUUAUUUGCAAAAGUAAGAUAUGAGAAAGAACAUAAUUAUCAGGAUGGAAAUGAGAAACUGUGGAUAAGUGGACUCAAGAACAGUUAAAAUGAAGUAAUUACUUUACAUAUAUGAACAUGAACAUCUUUGCAAAACAGACUUCUGAGUGAAAACCACAAAUUGUAGAAGAAUAGAUGUAGGAGGAUAUCACUAUGAACAUAUUAAAAGUAUAUGCAGCAGCACUAUAUAAUAUUUAAGCAGUGUUCUAUAUUGUUCAUGAAUGUAUGUAUGUGUAGUAAAAGUAUAAAAAAUAUUUUGGAAUGACACCAGUUUAAGAUAGUGGUACCUCUAGGAAGGAAGGGAGGAGGAAGCUAUCAGAAAUUAGACCUUAGCCAAAUCUAUGUUAUUUAAAAUUUGACAUCUAGAGCAAACAUGACACGAUAUUAACAUUUGUCUAAAUGAGGAGGGUGGUUGAUAUGUGCAUGGCUCUUAGAUUAUUUUCUGCACUGUAAGUUUUAAAAUAUUAAAUAAUUUCAAGGUUACAUAGUUGAAUUAGCUAAUUCCAUAGGUUUGUUUAAAAUGUUAGUAAAAAUACAUGUUAUAAUAUUUACUCUGAGUGAUUUUGGUGUUUUGUCUCUUGAUCUCAGUGCCUAGUGUGGUGUGUGGCAUGUCACUGGGCUCCGUCAGUGACUUUUGGGUGAAUGAAUGGAUUCUGCAGAAGGAGAAGUUGGGUUGACCAGAGAAAGGGGGAAAGCAUGCACAGAGGUAUAUAGGAUUCCCCACUGUGUUUGUAUUGGAGCAGCAAGGAUGUGUCCUAAAAGGGCCUAAUGACUUAUGAGGUUGGAAGGGUAAAGCUGGCAUCUGAUUGAGAACUGGGAACCAAGGUGAUGAUAAGUAACCUUCAUUAGGUCUUAAAGGAGACCUGUUGAAAGUUGUUUUUGGGGCACCUGGGUGGCUCAGUCGUUAAGCAUCUGCCUUCGGCUUGGGUCAUGAUCCCGGGGUCCUGGGAUUGAGCCCCACAUCGGGCUCCCUGCUCUGCGGGAAGCCUGCUUCUCCUGCUCCCACUCCCCCUGCUUGUGUUCCCUCUCUCGCUGUGUCUCUCUCUGUCAAAUAAAUAAAUAAAAUCUUUAAAAAAAAAGGAAAGUUGUUUUUGGAGGUAGUUGUCCUGGUAGUGUAGUGCAUAGGUCAGAAUGAAAAGAGACCAGGCAGCAGGCCAGGAAAUCUAUUUUGGAAUCUUAGGGUUAUGAGAAAGGCUGGUUUUGACAUUCAGUGAACACUGAUUAGAAUCAUAAAUGAUCCAUUUUGAUUGUCCUACUCACAUCUCACAUUGGAUUCUCAUGUAUUCUUGAUGCCCCCAACAUAAUGCUAACCCUUCCUUACAGCCUUCCCCAAGUUUCUCUGUGAAGGUGAUCUCUCUUCAUCUGAGCUCAUAGCUGUUUGUGCCUUUGUCAACUCUCUAUGAGGUGGUAAGGCCCACCCCACCCCCACAGCCCUGGCACAGUGCCUGGUGCUCAGCAGGCAGGCAUCCAGAUGCAUGUUCAUUGGACGAAUCAUGAACCUCAGCAAAGCCUCAUGUGUUUUAAGCUUAUCAAGUAAGGGUGCUCCACCAUGAGGUUAUCUACUUGGCACCUGUGGGUUGCUGCCCGUCCUUUCUCAUAUCUACCCUCUUUCAGUGUGCUUUUCGGUGGGCCGCAAGAAGACCAUUGACACACUUACUGUGCUCUUGUGACCACCCGCUUUCCACACUAGCAAGGAGCCCGUUAGAAAGCAAUGUCAGUGAAGGGAGCAUAGGUUUUUGUCACUUGAGAGACCCCUCUGUGUCUUCCAGUCUCCACCAACUGUCACUCUCAGAAAAAGAAUAUAAAGAUAAAGAAGAACAGAAAUUAGCUAUCAGACCCAAGGCCUCUUUCUUGUCAGCCAUUGCUGAUGUGCUCAAAGGAAAUUAAAAGUGGGACCACUGUUUAUGGCCAUGAAGCUUCCUUUGGAUUCAGGUCGUUCUUACAUGAAUUGAGUUUAACCAGCAAAAAAGGGGAUUUGAUAACUAGUUAUCUUUCAUAUUGUUUUAUUUAGAUCCUGCACCAGAGUUGGUAAGGGGACCUGUAAGAUUUUCUUAGGUUUCCUAGUCCAAAGAUGGUGUUAUAAUAACGCAAAGGGAAAUGAAAAGUAUAUUUUUCUUUACUUUUUCUGUUGUUCAAAGCAUUUGCUGUUAUUGGCCUUACCCUGUGAGUAAGAAGAAGGAGGCAGUGGCAUGAGGUCUUAUUUAGUAUUCUUUUAUUGUGCUGAAUAAUAUACCAUGGAGCCCUCUCCCAAAGGAGUGGCUCUAAAACUGAGCAGUUGGGUUCCCUCACACUUGUAGUACCAAUGAUGAGUUUUUAACCCAUGCCAUGAGAUGUUCUCAUUUUCUAGGUGGAGAAACUGAGCCUCUCCUUAUUUUUAUUUAGGAACAGUGCCCUGAAAAGUGAACUGCCAUUGGCAGUUUAUUUGUGGUAUGCCUUGUUGAGAACUUAAAAAACAGAAAUCAUUAAAAAUCAUUUUAAAAUCUUAAUGAUUAAUUGCUUAGUUUCUUUAUUAAUGCCUCCUUGGAAAUUUAGUUCUAAACAAGGUUAAUAACCCCAUUUCUGAUACAAUUUCUCAUUUGCUUUAUUUACUCCAAAAGAGCAGUAAUAACCCAAGCAAUAUCAACAUAUAAUGAUCCUUAAUCUGGAAUUGAUGGUGCUUAUAUCCUAAGAUGAUAAUGUUAAGCCAAAAAUAAUCAUUGUGACUUCAAAAAGCCUGAAAGUGAGUUAUGAGAUUAGUUAAUAGAGAAGUUACAGCCUGUCUGCUUUGUGCCAAAUAUACUGUAGUUACCUAUGUAUUUAAUAUUUCCCCUCAUUGAAGGUAGGCUAUGGAAAUACUUAAUAAGGAAACCACAACUUUUCUCCAUUUAUAAUGACCACAGUAUAGUUCUUUAUAUAUUUAAUAUUCACUUCAUUUAAAGUGGGCUAUGGGAUCAGUUGAUAGAGAAGACACCACUUUUCUUCAUUUGUUUUGAGUAUACUAUAUAUUUAAUAUUUUUAAUAUGUAUAUAUUUAAUAUUUUGCCUCAUUCCAAAAGUUUUUGAAACAUCUUUUAAAAAUACAAAACUCAAAAAUGGAAUGAGGAAAUGAGAGCACAUGGAAGAUAAUGAUUAGAAAAAUAAAAUGAAACCGAGGUGAAAUAGUAUAAACGUGUAUGUUGCUAACAUUCCCUGCAUUUGCUAAAAGUAGGGAGCCACUUUGGCUCUGAGUGACCUAGUACCCAUCCUAAAGAGAGAAACACGAAUGAAUUAUAUUCAAAAUGUCUGUUGGAUAAAACCAAACCAGGUUGCUCAGGAUAAUCUGCCAUUCCUGGGGCCAAGACUUGAGUGCUUUCUCCUGUGAGUCGCCACUGAGAGACCACUUUGUGAUGUGGCAAACAGCAUCCUUGGUCGUCUCUCUCUAUAUGAAAUCAGGCUCAUAGGUUUCUUUCUUAUACUGCUAAAUGCGCUAUAAAUAGAUAGAAUAGCACCUUACCUGGAAGUAAUUCUUCAGGAGGCUAAAUCUGACAGUCUAGUUUGACUCAAAGAUGAUAUUUAGCAUAUCAUCAGAUGGAUGGGUUAAUUUCAGGUCCUCCAAUCAGGCAGCAUGCCACGAUGACUAUUUCUAUCUGCCACGCUUUUUAUAGUCACGGGUAACAACGGGUGUCCUGUGUUACAGGUCACUGUGCAGCUACCUGGUGUGUGUGCCCUAACAAGGGACAUGGCCCUCAUGGGAUGCUGAGGUGUGUACAGCUCAUCUCAGGAGAAUCUCAGCACAGUUAACUCAGAGGGAAGUUUGCUCUUUCAACCUCUUGCCUCCCAUGGGCUAAGCAACAACCUUCAAAUUCAAAUUUUGAUGAGCAUGGAAUUUAUUCUUUUUCUCCUCGCAGCAUCAUCAAUGGGGUUUCUUUCUGACAUUAGUCUAGGUUAGAUUUCACUGGAUAAGAUGACAGUAAAAGGUCCCGGUAGCCCACAGUGAGGGGCCCAGCUCCUCACCCCAGGAUUUCCCCUGCCCACCUCCGCUCCCAAGGGCAAAGGAAGGGGCAGGGGUGGCCAGAGCAGUAUUCUUCCUCUGUUUUGGGGUUUUGGUUUUAUUUUGUUUUUUUACUGACUGUGGAGUUAAAUAAUGCUCAUUUCAGACAACUUGUAAAAUUCAAAAAAGUAUAGAGUAAAACCCAUAAUUCUACCAUUCAGAGACAACCAUUUUAUUUUCAAGUCACGCUUAUUGAAGUGUAAUUUACUUAGAGUAAAAUUCACCCUUUGUAACAUACAGUUUUAUGAUUUUUGAGAUUUUUGAUAUGUGGUUGUAUAACCACCACCACAAAGAACAUUGCCACUAACCCCAAAAAAGAGUCAACCACUUUUAAGUGUUUGCUGCAUUUCAUUCUCUUCAAUUUAUUUUUUUUAAGUUUGAGGUCAUUCCCCCUGGCUAACCUUGUGUCUUGUUCCUAAAAUCCCACUUUGACAUGUCAGGCCUAACUUUUAAUGGCUCCCACUUGCCUGAGGAAUUCCCAGUGGGACAAAAAACUUGAGGCUGAGGGGCGCCUGGGUGACUCAGUUAAGCGUCUGCCUUCAGCUCAGGUCAUGAUCCCAGGGUCCUGGGAUUGAGCCCUGCAUGGGGCUCUGUGCUCAGCGGGGAGCCUGCUUCUGCCUCACACUCUCCCUCUGUGCUUUCUCUCUCUCUCUCUCCAAUAAAUAAAUAAAAUCUUUAAAAAAAAAAAAAAAAGCCUUGAGGCUGAACCAGUGACCUAGGGCUGCUAAUUCAGCAGCGGUUAGAGAUCAUUACAGCCUUCCAGUGGCAGGCGGCACAGCGUGGGAGGAAGACUUGGCCAGGGGAGGAAAUAGUCUAAGGCAGAUUCAGCCUUCAAGUAUCCAAGGUGUGGCCUAUGCUUCGUGUUUCAUGUAAGCAGAGAAAUUGCACAAGUGGUUCAACUUGUUGGGUAAUAAAACUGUGCAAGGAGAAGAAAAUGGAGUUGGAAUUGAAAAGUCAGUAAAUGAAAAUAUGAUCAGCUUUGACUUCAAGAAACUAUUUCUGAGAUUUUACUGUACAGAAUUCCAAAACUAUCCCUGAUUGCAGACUUGGAAUCUUGCCAUUCAUUGUCCAGAAACAAAGUUACUUCUCGACAAGUUGUAGACGGUGAAAGAAAAAGUUUCUUUCUUUAGGGUACAUAAGUUGGUUCCACGAAUUUUAUCUUGUAAAUCAUAGUUUGUCCACUUAUUAAAAUGGAACACUUAAGUUUUCAUUUAUAUUGAAGUCAAAAAAAAAAAAGGUUCUUAAAAAAUGGACCUUUUAAUAAUUGUAGGAAACAUUAAUGGCAACUUUUGGAAUCAAAGUACAGAUUUAAGUUUUCAUUUUGAUUUUUAUACAUUGUCUUAAACUUUGAUGACCCCAUUUGGAAACAGUUGGUCCCUUCACAUUGUCUGUCCUUUGACUACUACUGAUGUUAGGAAGUUACUCUAGACUGAGAAAAAUCCUGUCCAUAUCAACUGAAUGAGGGGGAGAAUGGGUGGCAAUAUUGAAAUUAAAUAACUUCAAACUCUUCCCAAGAUUCUCUCUCCCUUUCAGUUAGUUUAAAGCCCUGCUAAAAUAGAAUUCUUUAUGGUUUCAAAAAGGUCAUACAAUCUUGACAAAUAGUCUUCUUAUCGACACUUAAGAAAAGAACUGUUAUUUUUUAAUGAAAAGAUUUGAUUCUCCACUGCCAUUCAGAUAUUUUUUUACACUUUAUGGGGUCAUCUGCUAGUGCCCAUCAGGCUUCCAUUGAUAUUAUUAAAAAUUCUAAAAGUGUUUUAGGCUGACAGUAGCAGAAAAGGCUUUUUCAUGGUUCAAGUCUUUUCUUCAGCGAAUAUUUUUAACUCAUUGUGAAGUAAACCUCCUCAAAUGAUACAUUCUUUAAAAAUGAAGAGUCUUUGAAAAGAUUGAAUGUUUAUGCCUUGACAGUUUAUUGCUUAUUUAAUGUACCACUAGGAAGAUGCUUGAUAUAAAGUUCUGUCCCUUUGGCCUCCAGAGCUCUCACCAGCAAAACCUGAGUUUUUAAAGUAAUAGUUUUAUUGAGAUAUAUUUCACAUACCAUAAAAUGCAUACUUUUAAAAUGUACAAUUCAUAUUUUUAGUGUAUUCACAGAGUUUGUUCAACCCUUACUACUGUUCCAUUUUAGAGCAUUUUUAUCACCCUAUAAAGAAGCCUUCUACCUAUUAGCACCCCUUUCCAAUUCUCCCCUCCGCAUUACCCCUGAGAACUGUUCAUCUACUUUCUGUCUCUGUGGAUUUGCCCAUUGGACAUUUUCUAUAUAUGAUAUCAGGCAAUAUAUGGCCUUUUGUGACUUGGUUUCUUUCACUGAGCAUGAUGAUUUUCAAGGUUCACCCAUGUUUGUAACACCCAUGUUGUAUCAGUACUAAAUCCCUUUUUGUUUCCAAAUAAUUAUUCCAUUGUAUGGAUAUACCACAUUUUGUUUAUUCAUUUGCCAGCUAAUAGACAUUAGGGUUGUUUCUACUUUUUAACUAUUGUAAAUAAUACUACUAUGUCUCUAGGUGUUAAAAGGGAAGAUCCCAAGGGGUUUGCUUUAGGCAUUCUUAGUUUGGGUGUCAGAGGGAGGCACAGGGAGUGAUAGAAGUUUUCCUUAGCCUCUCCACCUACCCUCCUACUCCCUCACAAGAACUUGCCUUCUUCCUUUCUCCUCUGCUUUCUGUUAUGGUAAAUCCCUGUCUACUGCUGAGCUAGUUGUCUGUGUUAAGUUACUUUAGUGCGUAGUAGGUAAAGCUAUUUGGGAGUCCUAUAAUAUUCAUCAGAAUAUAGUUCACCCAAUUUCCAUUCCUAAGUAUUGUCUUCAGUCACUAGUGUCUGUCUUAAUGGUCAAACAAAUAAAAGUGCUCUGAUUUCAUUUCUAAUUCAGACCAAAUGAAGAAUAAACUAUUUGAUAUUUGAAUCUAACUAUCAGAAACUCUCUUGGGGAUCUGUGCAGUGAAUAUUUAUUAAAUGGAUGCUCUUAUGAGCAAAUUUCAUAACACUGAAUUUUUAUGAUGCAACUCCUAUUGUAAACCCAGUAAAGAGUACAGCAUCUGAAAGAUACAUAAAUGAGUCUGUGGCUGACCUGCAGCUCUAAAGAAGUCAUUUAUCUCGAACAGUUUACUUAAGCACAGUUCUUCCAGAAGGCAUUUUAAUUACCGCUUCUCAUUGCCAUUCCAGUCACAAGCCAAUUUCAUCUGGGAUAUACAAAUCCACGUGGCAACUAUCUCUGCUGAUCUGAAUUAAACUUGUAUAAGCUAGGUCUUCUGCAGGGCAUGUGAGCCCAAGAACAGUUAUUGAUGAUCCUGGCUCUGUACUCUAUCUCACGUGUGAAUUCAUUCCUCCUUCAGCACUAAAACAGCUAUUUAUGGUGCUUGUCUGUGAAUUAAGAACUGAAAAUGCUGUUACAGUGAGAAACAUCAUUUUUUUUCAAAAAGCAAAGCAGAAACUUAAGAAACAUGUUUGUUCUUCUCACACAAUGAAAACAAAUUUUUUUUCAGAAAUUAAAGAAACUUUACUGUUUAUAAAAAUUUUUUAAAUAAAUCUUUACAUUGGGUGAUCAAUGGAAAGAAAGUGAAUAGCAUUCUUCAGACAUAUGCCAAAUUUGAUAGUGUCUUUAUAUGAGUAUAAAGAAUUGUAUGUGAAUAAAUCAUUUGCUUUUGAAUGUCUAAAUAGGAUAAAUAAUCAAGGGAGUAUAUGUUUAAUAAAAAAAUUGGGGUUUAUGAUAAAAUUGCUUUUAAGUAAAUUUUUACAUAGGCUUUUCAAAACAUAUUAAAUCUUUUAAAGUAAAAAAAUGAAAUUGUAUGCAUCAUAAACAAAGCUAUUUAUAAUGACAAAUUUUAAGGGGUUUGGAUGCCAGCCAGUGUAUCUUACUACAGAUCUCUGCAGUUUAGUCCCAUGUUCACUCUGCUCAAUCUCAUGCAGAGCAAGUAGAAAAACAGGACCCUUUCCCUACCCCCUACCAGUGCCAGCUCUUUUAAAAAAUAUAUAAGAUUUAUGGGUGGCUGGGUGGCUCAGUCAGUUAAGCAUCUGCCUUUGGCUCGUGUCAUUAUCCCAGGGUCCUGUGAUCAAGCCCCACAUUGGGCUCCCUGCUGAGCAGGGAGCCUGCUUCUCCCUCUCCUUCUGCCUCUCCCCCCAGCUCAUGUUCUUGCUCACUCUGUGUACAUGCUCUCUCUCUAAAUAAAUAAAUAAAUAAAUAAAUAAAUAAAUAAAUAAAUAUAUGUAUAUAUAUGAUUUAAAUUGUUUUACACAUUUCUAGAAAGAGUAUAUUUGUGUGUGCUCUUUUUCUUAUUUUAAAUCUUUGAAAAUGUUUUUCAUUUGUUUUGUUUUGUUUUUACCUUCAGAGGGCUUUUGGAAGAAUAGAAGUGAGGGAGACAAUAGCAGUUAUUAGACCAUGGAUGCAAACAGUUUGCAGUAGCCCAUCUAUUCCAAGGCUGACCCUUUGCCUAACUAACUAGCACCCUAAGUUAUGGCAAAAUACUUAGGAAAGAGAGCCUGAUCUUGUAUUUCGCUGUUUUCAUCUCACUUGCUUUCACUCUUUCAAAUGUCAACUGAAAUGUUAGAAAACCCCUCUAUUCUGAUUUCUACUUUCACUGGUCAGAACACCUGUUGUGGGCUGGGCUUAAACAGAAAUCAUGCUUCCUGUAUAAUUUAUGGGGAUACCAGAGGGAACUGUUUGUUUCAUUUUUUCUAGUACUACCUUUUUGAACUUCCCCUUCCCAUAUGGUCUUCUGGAUCUUUUAUUCAUAGAUUCAAAGCACUAACACAAAAUGCUUUUGUCAAAGAAUAUUUAACAUCUUCUAAAAUGCGUUUACCUCCAGUCCCUAUGAAAGUUACUUGAAUUCUGAAAAGGACUAGUAUUUCUUGUUCCUUUAAUGUUUUUGCUCUGCAUUAAAUACAUAAUUUUCUCUUUAGGAAA
This is a long non-coding RNA of Mirounga angustirostris (Northern elephant seal), 9703 nucleotides long. RefSeq lists it as uncharacterized. NCBI's taxonomy places the organism in Eukaryota, Metazoa, Chordata, Mammalia, Carnivora, Phocidae. The record is from RefSeq and is a predicted model, not a curated record. The transcript is spliced from 2 exons.